CAGCCUCUGGUGCACAUCCGUGUGUGGGGCGUGGGGAGCUCCAAGGGCCGUGACAGGUGAGUGAAAACCAGGUAUCCUGAGCCCCAUCCCUGAUGUCCCUACUCCAUCCCUGCUAUAUCCCUAGCCUGACUUUCCAGCCUCCUGCAGGCUCCUGCCUCUAACCCGCCUCUACCCCAGCCCCAUCUCUGCCCCUGCUAGGGACUUCGCUUUUGUGGCAAGUGACAAAGAUAGCUGUAUGCUCAAGUGCCAUGUGUUUCGCUGUGAUGUCCCUGCCAAGGCCAUUGCCAGUGCCCUACAUGGGCUUUGUGCCCAGAUCUUGUCAGAGCGAGUAGGGGUCAGUGGUGAUGCCUCUUGCUGCUCCCCAGACCCCAUCUCUCCUGAAGACCUGCCACGGCAAGUGGAGCUGCUGGAUGCGGUAAGCCAAGCUGCUCAGAAGUACGAGGCACUGUAUAUGGGGACACUGCCAGUCACCAAAGCCAUGGGCAUGGAUGUGCUGAACGAGGCCAUUGGUACCCUCACCGCCAGGGGGGACCGGAAU
Molecule: small RNA, 538 nt
Filed under: Pan troglodytes (chimpanzee)
Lineage: Eukaryota; Metazoa; Chordata; Mammalia; Primates; Hominidae
Description: retained intron
Source: RNAcentral